GUCAAAGUGGCCGAGUGGUUAAGGCGUCUGACUUGAAUUGGUUCGAAAUCAGAUAUUUUCGGAUGCGCAGGUUCAAAUCCUGUCUUUGACG
RNAcentral lists this transfer RNA (91 nucleotides) under Zymoseptoria tritici IPO323. Its description in RNAcentral is "Zymoseptoria tritici tRNA-Ser for anticodon UGA". It matches the Rfam family "tRNA". Rfam says of the family: Transfer RNA (tRNA) molecules are approximately 80 nucleotides in length. Lineage: Eukaryota; Fungi; Ascomycota; Dothideomycetes; Mycosphaerellales; Mycosphaerellaceae. The record is from Rfam by way of RNAcentral.